This 149-nucleotide unclassified non-coding RNA is filed under the name uncultured Xylariales. RNAcentral describes it as "sequence contains ITS1". The record is from RNAcentral. Lineage: Eukaryota; Fungi; Ascomycota; Sordariomycetes; Xylariales.
CAGAGUUGUAAAACUCCCAACCCAUGUGAACAUACCUCUGUUGCCUCGGCGGGCUACAGGGUAACUACAGGGUAACUACCGGGUAGGCCCGCCGACGGACCACAAAACUCUGUUUAUACUACAUCUCUGAACAAAAAACAAAUAAGUUA